ACAGCAGCCGCCGCGGGAAUACGUAGGGUGCGAGCGUUAAUCGGAAUUACUGGGCGUAAAGCGUGCGCAGGCGGUUCGUUAAGACAGAUGUGAAAUCCCCGGGCUUAACCUGGGAACUGCAUUUGUGACUGGCGAGCUAGAGUAUGGCAGAGGGGGGUAGAAUUCCACGUGUAGCAGUGAAAUGCGUAGAGAUGUGGAGGAAUACCGAUGGCGAAGGCAGCCCCCUGGGCCAAUACUGACGCUCAUGCACGAAAGCGUGGGGAGCAAACAGGAUUAGAUACCCUGUAGUCCCUGUCUCUUAUACA
This 305-nucleotide ribosomal RNA is filed under the name uncultured bacterium. RNAcentral's name for it is "partial 16S ribosomal RNA". It matches the Rfam family "Bacterial small subunit ribosomal RNA", at positions 508 to 808 of the family's 1533-position model. The record is from RNAcentral.